Molecule: long non-coding RNA, 232 nt
Organism: Penaeus monodon (black tiger shrimp)
Lineage: Eukaryota; Metazoa; Arthropoda; Malacostraca; Decapoda; Penaeidae
Exons: 3
Source: RefSeq, a predicted model, not a curated record
GUGUGAUUUCGCGACGAAAGAAAUCGAUCUCAUUGUGAUGAUUAGGACCGUAAUGACGACUGUAAAGACCAUCACUGUCUUGAUCCGACUUUAUGCUUAGAAUCAUCUUGAAGAUUAUUCCCCCGACUUCGAGACGAAAAAGGAGGAGAGAGAAGGAGGAAAAGAGACCGAAGAGGAGGAGAAAGAGAAAGAGGAAUUGAGACCGAAGAGGAGGAGAGAAAAAGAGGAAGAG